GACGAACGCUGGCGGCGUGCUUAACACAUGCAAGUUGAACGACGGAAGCCAAUUGAUUUAUCAAUGGGUGGAAGGAGUGGCGAACGGGUGAGUAACGCGUGGGUAACCUGCCCUGAAGACCGGGAUAACAUACCGAAAGGGAUGCUAAUACCGGAUAAGCUCUUAGGUGCACAAGCAGCAGAGAGAAAAGCUGAGGCGCUUCAGGAUGGGCCUGCGUCCUAUUAGCUGGUUGGAGAGGUAACGGCUCACCAAGGCGACGAUAGGUAGCCGGUCUGAGAGGAUGAACGGCCACAUUGGGACUGAGACACGGCCCAAACUCCUACGGGAGGCAGCAGUGGGGAAUAUUCCGCAAUGGACGAAAGUCUGACGGAGCAACGCCGCGUGAAGGAAGAAGGCCUCGGUUGGUAAACUCUUUACCUAGGACGAAGAACGUAGACGGUACCU
RNAcentral lists this ribosomal RNA (444 nucleotides) under uncultured bacterium. RNAcentral describes it as "bacterial SSU rRNA". It matches the Rfam family "Bacterial small subunit ribosomal RNA", at positions 28 to 480 of the family's 1533-position model. The record is from RNAcentral.